ACGACGCGUGCGGGCAUGGCCUACAACAUGCAAGUCGAACGGAGUUAUUAUCUAGAAGUUCUUCGGGAUGGAAGGAUAAGAACUUAGUGGCGGACGGGUAGAGUAACGCGUGGGUAACCUGCCCGUUUUUGUAGGGGAACAACUUUCGAGAAAUCGGAGCUAAUACCGCAUAAUAAUAGAGGAUCGCAUGAUUCUUUAAGGAAAGAUGGCCUCUGAAGAUGCUAUCGCAAAAGGAUGGACCCGCGUCUGAUUAGCUAGUUGGAAGGGUAACGGCCUACCAAGGGCAACGAUCAGUAGCCGGCCUGAGAGGGUGAACGGCCACAUUGGGACUGAGACACGGCCCAAACUCCUACGGGAGGCAGCAGUGGGGAAUCUUCCGCAAUGGGCGAAAGCCUGACGGAGCGAUGCCGCGUGAGUGAAGAAGGCCUUCGGGUUGUAAAACUCUGUCCUUAUCGAAGAGAGGUAGGUAUGUGAAUAAUGUACCUAUAGGACGGUAGAUAAGGAGGAAGCCCCGGCUAACUACGUG
Molecule: ribosomal RNA, 526 nt
Filed under: uncultured Peptococcaceae bacterium
Lineage: Bacteria; Bacillati; Bacillota; Clostridia; Eubacteriales; Peptococcaceae
Description: bacterial SSU rRNA
Rfam family: Bacterial small subunit ribosomal RNA
Source: RNAcentral